GGUAUUAGAUGGCAGGUGGAAUUGAGAGCACUUUGUAAAAGGAAGAACAGAGACUUCUUGGGGCCCAGAAGAAUAUUUUAUAAUUCAAAGUGAGGAGAUUAGAGUGGAGAUUUUGCCUGAAGAAAUACAUCUGGGUGUGGUGUGGAAGCUGGGAAAGCAGGAUUUGAGACUGUUCUUAGAGAGUGUUGGGAUUAUUCUAGAAAGUUUACAAAAAUUCAGCUUCUAGAUUUCAUUCCCAGUAGUUCUAAUUUGGGCUGAUGGUGAGAACUGAGAAUCUGCAUUUUAUGCAAUUCCAUGAAUUCUCUUGGACUAGUUCACACUUUGAGAUUGCUGCCAUGGGAUCCAUGACUGAAGGCCAUAGUGAUGUGGAACCAUGGUGGCUUGGGAGAAGGCUGGAUGGGAGUGGUAGGCCACCAUGCCACAGGUAGGUAGUGGCAAGUGAGCAGGGGCAAGAGGAAGAUCCAUGUUUAGCACUUCUGAUCUGCUCUCCCCAGCUCCCAGAAGUGCACACCAACAGCUGUGACAACAUCUCUCAGUUCUCGGUGGACAGCAUCACCAGCCAGGAGAGCAAGGAGCCUGUGUUCAUUGCGGCAGGGGACAUCAGACGGCGCCUUUCAGAACAGCUGGCUCACACUCCCACAGCCUUCAAACGAGACCCUGAAGACCCUUCUGCAGUCGCCCUC
RNAcentral lists this long non-coding RNA (683 nucleotides) under Rattus norvegicus (Norway rat). RNAcentral describes it as "long non-coding RNA NONRATT015542". Lineage: Eukaryota; Metazoa; Chordata; Mammalia; Rodentia; Muridae. The record is from RNAcentral.